RNAcentral lists this ribosomal RNA (253 nucleotides) under uncultured bacterium. Its description in RNAcentral is "partial 16S ribosomal RNA". It matches the Rfam family "Bacterial small subunit ribosomal RNA", at positions 524 to 776 of the family's 1533-position model. The record is from RNAcentral.
UACGUAGGGUCCGAGCGUUGUCCGGAAUUACUGGGCGUAAAGCGCGCGUAGGCGGCUUUGCAAGUCGGGUGUGAAAUCCCCAGGCUCAACCUGGGAACUGCAUUCGAGACUGCAUUGCUAGAGUAUGGGAGAGGGAAGUGGAAUUUCAGGUGUAGCGGUGAAAUGCGUAGAUAUCUGAAGGAACAUCAGUGGCGAAAGCGACUUCCUGGACCAAUACUGACGCUCAUGUGCGAAAGCGUGGGGAGCAAACAGG